AUGAAUCUGCACGGCGGGUCCUCCCAGUCCUCUGCAAACACGGCCUCCCGCGAACGCUCCAACAAGCAGAACAACAGCAACGGCGGUGGCGGUGGUGACCGCGGUCGCAACUUCCCCAGGCAAGGCGGUGGCGGCGGCGGCGGUGGUGACCGCGGCCGCGGCAACUUCAACAAGCAGCCGAACCGCGGCAACAUGGGGGGCAACAACGGUGGUGGCGGCGGGAACUACAACAACAAUCCCGCUGCCAAGGUUGCUUGUCAGAUCUGCGGCAAGCUCGGGCAUCCAGCAUGGAAGUGCUGGAAGCGCUAUGACUCCUCCUAUCAAGGAGGGGAAGAGCGCUCGGUGAACGUGGCGACGGCUCCCCAGUACGGCAUGGACACGAACUGGUAUAUGGACAGCGGAGCCACUGACCAUAUCACCAGCGACUUGGAGAAGCUGACCGUCCGGGAGAGGUACACCGGCGGCGAACAAAUCCACACCGCAAAUGGAUCAGGAUCUGGAAACGAGGAGGGUCCUUCUUCGAGGCAGGGGUAG
This 534-nucleotide ribosomal RNA is filed under the name Triticum aestivum (bread wheat). RNAcentral describes it as "partial small subunit ribosomal RNA". Lineage: Eukaryota; Viridiplantae; Streptophyta; Magnoliopsida; Poales; Poaceae. The record is from RNAcentral.